UACGUACGGGGCAAGCGUUAUCCGGAUUUACUGGGUGUAAAGGGAGCGUAGGCGGCAGGGCAAGCCUGAUGUGAAAGCCCGGGGCUCAACCCCGGGACUGCAUUGGGAACUGCCCUGCUGGAGUGCCGGAGGGGCAGGCGGAAUUCCUAGUGUAGCGGUGAAAUGCGUAGAUAUUAGGAGGAACACCAGUGGCGAAGGCGGCCUGCUGGACGGUGACUGACGCUGAGGCUCGAAAGCGUGGGGAGCAAACAGG
This 253-nucleotide ribosomal RNA is filed under the name uncultured bacterium. RNAcentral describes it as "partial 16S ribosomal RNA". It matches the Rfam family "Bacterial small subunit ribosomal RNA", at positions 524 to 776 of the family's 1533-position model. The record is from RNAcentral.